GACGAACGCUGGCGGCGUGCUUAACACAUGCAAGUCGAACGGAAAGGCCCUGCUUUUGUGGGGUGCUCGAGUGGCGAACGGGUGAGUAACACGUGAGUAACCUGCCCUUGACUUUGGGAUAACUUCAGGAAACUGGGGCUAAUACCGGAUAGGAGCUCCUGCUGCAUGGUGGGGGUUGGAAAGUUUCGGCGGUUGGGGAUGGACUCGCGGCUUAUCAGCUUGUUGGUGGGGUAGUGGCUUACCAAGGCUUUGACGGGUAGCCGGCCUGAGAGGGUGACCGGCAAAAUUGGGACUGGGAAACGGCCCAGAGUCCUACGGGAGGAAGCAGUGGGGAAUAUUGCAAAAUGGGCGGAAGCCUGAUGAAGCAACGCCGGGGGGGGAAUGACGGCCUUCGGGUUGUAACCGCUUUCGCCUGUGACGAAGCGUGAGUGACGGUAAUGGGUAAAGAAGCACCGGCUAACUACGUG
RNAcentral lists this ribosomal RNA (467 nucleotides) under uncultured bacterium. RNAcentral describes it as "partial 16S ribosomal RNA". It matches the Rfam family "Bacterial small subunit ribosomal RNA", at positions 28 to 507 of the family's 1533-position model. The record is from RNAcentral.